AAUGGCCGCGGUAAUUUGACCGUGCAAAGGUAGCAUAAUUAUUAGUCUUUUAAUUGAAGGCUUGUAUGAACGAUUGGAUGAAAGAUAAACUAUAUUAAUAUAAAUUAUUUAACUUAAUAUUUAAGUAAAAAUUCUUAAAUAAAUAAGUGGGACGAGAAGACCCUAUAGAGUUUAAUUUUCCUUUUCAUUAAAAAAUUCAAGAAAUAAUAUUUUUUAUUUUUAAGAAAAAUUUUAUUGGGGUGAUAUUAAAAACUUAAUAACUUUUGAUUAAUAAUUCAUUUAUUUAUGAUUAAUUGAUCCAAUUAUUUUGAUCACAAGAUAUAAUUACCUUAGGGAUAACAGCGUUAUUAAUUUGGAGAGUUCUAAUCGAUAAAUUAGUUUGCGACCUCCGAUGUUGGAUUAAGAAAAAGUUUUGAAGUAGUAUUUAAAAUUAUAGGUCUGUUCGACCUUUAAAUUCUUACG
RNAcentral lists this ribosomal RNA (462 nucleotides) under Platypleura contracta. RNAcentral describes it as "partial 16S large subunit ribosomal RNA". It matches the Rfam family "Bacterial large subunit ribosomal RNA", at positions 1926 to 2600 of the family's 2925-position model. The record is from RNAcentral. Lineage: Eukaryota; Metazoa; Arthropoda; Insecta; Hemiptera; Cicadidae.